Long non-coding RNA from Zootermopsis nevadensis, 1751 nucleotides. RefSeq lists it as uncharacterized. Lineage: Eukaryota; Metazoa; Arthropoda; Insecta; Blattodea; Termopsidae. The record is from RefSeq and is a predicted model, not a curated record.
AUAUUUCUCAGUUGAGUGCUUGAUAAUUUAUUGAUUGGAGGGAGAGGGGGACGUCUCUUAUUAACUUUUAACUCCCAGUUUAUAAUAUUAAGAAAGGUGAACGAAUGUGUAACCCCAGUUCAAUGGAUACAGACUGCAAAACUUUGCUAGUCUUCACGUCAUUCCAGAUGUAUUCCAUAAGUCAUAGCACGAAUCGCGUUAUUUACUUAUUUUAAUGUGCACAUAAUUUUAGUGAUUACUGACACCAAAACACCAUACAAUAGAUAGGUUGAAAAUGGCCAUUUGUUCAACAUCAAGAUGCGUACCUAACUCAAGUCAACCUUAAAAUUUGCAUAUGUCUGCAUUUAAUAUAUAUAUAUAUAUAUGUGUGUGUGUGUGUGUGUAACCACCUCCCUAGGAGUUAAUGAAAUUAGAUAUGGAUGUUAUUCCAUAGGUGACACUCUGAACCCAUACCUUGUAACUUCUUAAUUACUCCAUCCAUUUACCAUCCUCACAGCCCACCUCCCUCCGAUCUCCUUCUUGGUCUACACAGUGGUCGUUUUCCAGGAUUUACCACCACCAUUCUGUAUGUACCCAUGCGAGCAUGCCCAACCCAUCGGAACUUUUUAGAUUUUGCUAUCCUCAUUAUGCUAGGUGACCUGUACAAUUCAUGCAGCUCAUUUUGUAAUAUUCUAGUCACCACUUAUUUAAUCAGUCACAGGUCCAGAUGUCUUCCUGAGCACCAUGUUUUCAAAUACUUGUAAUCUACAUUCUUCCUUCAAGGUGCUGUAGUGCCUGGGAAUAAGCAAUACAUGAACCACCCCUUUUUGCCUGGAUUCAGAUGUCAUGGUGGACUGAUGAUUGAAGGUGAUAGAGGAACACCUAUGGAGGGUCAUUUCAAUGCAACAGAGAGGUUGGUACAACAGGUUACCCAUCUUUCUGCUUGUGUACAACCCCUAAGACCAAGGGCACACCAGUUAGUUUGGAAUUCAGGAGAUCACUACAUCCUAUGACCUGUUGUUUGGGGCUCCCCCUGAUGAAGUCUAUGAAUCAACUGCAUGAUAUACAUUACUGUCUUACAUAUGAAGGUGACAAGUAACAUGAUGAAGGCCUGCUACAACUGCCUGGAUAAUUCCAUGGAUUUUGAGGAAGAUCAAAUCAGGUUGUACUGCCCAAACCAGAGCAAAGUUGCCACAGCUUCAGCCAUCAUGGGAAGAUCCAUAAAAGAUGUUUACCUAGGUUAUUGAUGUGGUCUAUGGGAUCCAACAUCCUAGGACAAAGAUGAUGACACACCUGGACAGACUGGCACCAUUCAUAGGGGCUACUUAAGGAGGAAGAAGUAUAGCAAGUAUUUGCUUGGCUAUGUGAUUAUCCCACCUGCAGCCUCUUGUAGCCAGUUUGACAUGACAUAAACCAAGACCUAUGAGUGCAUAUUAAUUUUUUUUAUUUAUUUAUAUAUACUUAUGUUAAUUAGAAAUACCUAAACAAACAGCUGAAGUGUUUACAUUACAGUUACAUUAUCAAAAACAUAAUAUGGGCCUUGGCUUGUUCAACUUCACCUAAAUGUUUUAAUGAUGUGUUUUGGUGUGUAUUUUUGUAUGCUAUGCAAUGAAGGAGAAGGAUGAAUAAAACAAUAUAAAAGAAAACCACAGAAUAAAAAAUAUAUAUUUCCACCAACACUUUGAAUAUAAAAUAAAAAUAAUACAAAAUGUGAACUGUAUAAUCUUAGGGAACUUCCAUGUAAUCCAAAUAAAACUAUAAAUAUUCAUUAA